AUGAAUAAAAAAGCUGUCUCCACCAAAAAGGUUGUAAAUUUGUUAUCAGUGAUUUUCACCAAUCCGAAAACCCUAACACCUGCGUGCGAUUCCCCACCAUCUCAAUCUCAAUUCUAAACACUUCCGUCGUACUUCAAUUUUCAAAACUUAAGGUUAUAGUGAUGGAAGAGGUUAAACAUAAAUCUAGGAAAGAAGAUACUGAUUCUAAGAGGAGUCAUCGUAGUGAUCGAGAUCGUAAGGAUCGAAGCAGCGAUGUUAGUAGGCACAAGGAUAAGAGGGAUCGUAGUGAAUCUCGAAGGCACGAUAGAGAUAAAAGUACUGAUUCUGAUGAGAAACAUGAUAGAGAUAGGGAGAAGAGGAGAGAAAUUAAAGAGAAGGAGAAGGCACGUUUUCAUGAUGUCGAACGAGAAAAACAGAGGGAGAGGAAGAGGGAAAGAGAGAGGGAUGAGAAGGAAAAGGAGAGAGUGAGGGAGAAGGAAAGAGAGAGGGAAGAGAAAGAAAGGGAGAGAGUUAGGGAGAGAAAAGAGGAGAAAGAGAGGAUUAGAGAGAAAGAAAGAAGGGAGAGGGAAAGGAGGGAUUAUGAUAGAGAGAAGGAAAAGGAAAAGGAAAAGGAAAAGGAGAGAGAUAGAGGUCGGAGAGUACGUGAGAGGGAGAAGCAUCGGGAUGUUGAUAGUGAAAACAGUGAUGGGGAAUUGAGGGAGAGAAAUCGUAAGCGGCAUAAGAAAGAUGAUGACGAUUACAAGAGGCGGGAGAAGGAAAAGAGUUCGGGAAAGUCAAGUAGGAAAAUUGAGGUGGUUGAUGGGAGUCCUAGGAGAAAGAGUGACGGAGAUGACUCGGAUUCUAAAGAGAAAGCUAAGAAACAGACCCGUGAGGAGGAGAUGGAAGAGGAACAAAAGAGGUUGGAUGAUGAAAUGGAAAAGCGGAGGAGGAAAGUUCAAGCCUGGCAAGAGCUAAGGAGGUUGGAGGAAGAGGCACAAAGAAAAAAGCAAGGUGAAGCAAGUGUUGUUGAAGCCGAGUCUGGAAAGAAAUGGACACUUGAUGGGGAGGAAUCUGAUGAUGAAGAUGGAACUGGUAAACAUACGAGUAUGGAUAUAGACGAAGACGACAAACCUGCUGAUAAUGAACCUACUGAUUCAAUGGCGGUAGAUGUUGACAAGGGAACUGUUGCGUCUGAUUUACAGAAUGGAGACGCUGGUGCUCCUGCAGAAGAUGAAAUAGACCCGUUGGAUGCUUUCAUGAAUUCUAUGGUUCUUCCCGAGGUUGAAAAGCUUAAUAAUGCUGUUAACUCAGCACCUCCUGAUAAAGCUUCUGACUUGAAUCCCAAAGAUAAAGGGGCUGAGAGUAGAAAUGGUGGACAAUCAAGGAAAGGUUCAAAUAAAUCUAUUGGCAGGAUAAUUCCUGGUGAAGAGUCUGAUUCAGAUUAUGCAGAUCCUGAAGUUGAAGGCGAUCCAUUAGAUGAAGAUGACGAUGAGUUCAUGAAAAGAGUGAAGAAAACAAAAGCUGAAAAGCUUUCUAUUGUUGACCACUCAAAGAUUGACUAUAUACCAUUCAGGAAGAAUUUCUAUAUUGAAGUGAAGGAGGUUUCAAAGAUGACUGUUGAAGAAGUUGCAUUUUACAGGAAGCAGUUAGAGUUGAAGAUACAUGGAAAGGAUGUGCCCAAGCCUGUAAAGUCAUGGAAUCAAACUGGACUCACCAGCAAAAUUUUAGACACAAUAAAGAAGGCGAACUUUGAAAAGCCAAUGCCUAUUCAAGCUCAGGCGUUGCCUGUAAUUAUGAGUGGUCGAGAUUGCAUAGGCGUUGCCAAAACCGGGUCAGGUAAAACCCUUGCUUUUGUUCUGCCAAUGUUGAGGCAUAUCAAGGAUCAGCCACCAGUUGUUGUAGGAGAUGGACCUAUUGGGCUUAUUAUGGCCCCUACAAGAGAACUUGUUCAACAGAUUCACAGUGAUAUAAGGAAGUUCACAAAGGUAAUGGGUAUCAGGUGUGUGCCUGUCUAUGGAGGUUCUGGUGUUGCUCAACAAAUCAGUGAAUUGAAACGUGGUACUGAGAUAGUAGUUUGUACUCCUGGUAGGAUGAUUGACAUAUUGUGCACUAGUAGUGGAAAAAUUACUAACCUGCGUAGAGUAACUUAUCUGGUCAUGGAUGAGGCAGAUCGGAUGUUUGAUAUGGGCUUUGAACCUCAAAUCACAAGAAUUGUUCAGAAUAUUCGGCCAGAUCGUCAAACAGUUCUCUUCUCUGCCACUUUCCCCCGCCAAGUUGAAAUUUUGGCUCGCAAGGUUUUGAAUAAACCUGUUGAAAUACAAGUUGGUGGGAGGAGUGUUGUGAACAAAGAUAUAGCACAGUUAGUUGAGGUGAGGCCAGAAAAUGAGAGGUUCCUUAGACUCUUGGAACUACUUGGAGAAUGGUAUGAGAAAGGAAAGAUUUUGGUAUUUGUCCACUCACAAGAUAAAUGUGAUGCACUGUUCAAGGAUCUAAUGAAACAUGGUUAUCCAUGUCUUUCUCUUCAUGGGGCUAAGGAUCAGACAGACCGUGAAUCCACAAUAUCUGAUUUUAAAAGCAAUGUCUGCAAUUUGCUGGUUGCGACAAGUAUUGCUGCCAGGGGAUUGGACGUUAAGGAGCUCGAAUUGGUGAUCAAUUUUGAUGUUCCAAACCACUAUGAAGAUUAUGUACAUCGUGUUGGGCGUACUGGCCGUGCUGGCCGAAAGGGUUGCGCUAUCACAUUUAUUUCUGAGGAAGAUGCAAGAUAUGCACCAGAUCUGGUGAAAGCUUUGGAGCUAUCUGAGCAGAUUGUUCCUGAUGAUCUGAAAUCCCUUGCCGAGGGCUUUAUGGCGAAAGUGACUCAAGGACUGGAGCAAGCCCAUGGGACUGGUUAUGGAGGCACUGGGUUUAAAUUUAAUGAAGAGGAAGAUGAGGUGAGGAGAGCAGCGAAGAAAGCCCAAGCCAAAGAAUAUGGAUUUGAAGAAGACAAGUCAGAUUCAGAAGAUGAAGAUGAAGGUAUUAGGAAGGCAGGAGGUGAUAUCUCACAGCACCAUACUCCGAUCUCUGCAGCCCAACUGAUUCCAAUUGGUGGGAUACCAUCUGUUUCAACAGUCUUGCCUGUGAUAGGAUCUAUUGCUACAAACGAUGGGGCUACUCGAGCAGCAUUAGCUGCUAUGAACCUGCAGCAAAACAUAGCAAAAAUACAAUCUGAAGCAUUGCCAGAGCAUUAUGAGGCUGAGUUGGAAAUAAAUGAUUUCCCUCAGAAUGCUCGUUGGAAAGUCACACACAAGGAAACUUUGGGCCCCAUUUCUGAGUGGACUGGAGCUGCUAUUACUACAAGGGGGCAGUUUUUCCCACCUGGCAAAGUCGCAGGGCCUGGGGAUCGCAAACUCUACUUGUUCAUUGAGGGUCCUAGUGAACAGUCUGUUAAGAGAGCCAAAGCAGAAUUGAAACGAGUUUUGGAAGAUAUCACUCAUCAGGCUUUGCAACUACCUGGUGGAACUCAACCUGGCAAAUACUCUGUUGUAUAAAAGGGCAAAAUGAGACACUGUUAAACACUCUUGUCUCGCACCCCCAUCCGGGACAAGUUGCUCAUAUGACUGCCUUUCUUGCCCGAUCAUUCUCAUACAGCUAGGUGGUCUUUCAAGCUUAAUCUCGUAUAUUCAAAUAUUGUUCCAUCCUUGCACUUGCUUCGUGGAUGUCUAAGGUGUUAAUCAUGAUGCAACUUUUUCAUCUAGGUUUUGGUUCGAUGAUCAUUUGUCUUGAAAAGGGAUGCAAGCUGUGAUUGGGGAGAUCACUCGAUUCAGUUAUUUAUGUAUUUUCCUAACUGCCAUGAUUUGGAUUUCAGCACGUGUAACGUAAAACAUAUCUUCAUAUUAAUUUUACCACUUAAUGGAUAUGUUUAUCAUGGCAAAUCAUCAGUUUAGACUCAUAAGUCAUGGCACUUGUAAGAUCACUGGCUUUGCACUUUCCCUUGUUUUUUUUUGAACUCACAAUUCUAUUUUGUGCUGUAAUUCCAAUUCCAAAGGAUGCUGUAACAUUUUAUUUGGUUUGCUGAAAGUAUGUUCAUGAAUUAUUGAUGAAAAAUUAUCACAUUUAUUAUUGGAAAGUCUACACUGUGUAUGCUUACCGGUCUCUUUUCGUGGGUUUAGUAACUUUAUGCUGGAUCAGAAGUAACACAGUUGCUCAUUCUUUGUUAAACUUAUUGGAUCAGCUGUGCUCACUCUAACAGCAGAAAUACAUCCUGACAUCAUCUGUGGAAGUUGAUGGCACCCAAGCAUUUAUUGAUUAUAGCUUAAAGAGGUGAAAUGGCAAGGUUUCACUUCUGACAAGGUUUUAAUUCUUAAUCUUUGCUCUUUCUGUUUUGUCCAGUGGUUAUUGCUUGAUGUCUUGCUAUAUCAUCUUCCUGUCACAUUUUACGUCGCUUGGUAUAUGUGAUUUUACCAGUUAUUUUUGCAAUGCAAAAUCUCAUUAGAUGAUCAGCUUGAACCACGGGAAGGUUACCAAGACCAGCAUUCUGGGGAUCACUAGUUAUGUUGUCUUUUGCUGGAUAUACUACCACACAAUGAGUUAUACGUUAAAAUAAUGCUACUCAACUUUAGGAGAAAAAUGAUGAUAGCUUAGAAUGAGUGGAAGUUUGCAACAUAUUGGCGGUUUUUUUGUUGUCAGCUUGUGUUUUUCCCAACAUCGGAAGUUAAAUCAUGUCCAUGCUAAGAGUUUGUUUAACUGUUUAAACGAAACUUGUAAAUCAAGGUUCUUAAAAUUUAUGCAAUCCUUGAUACAGUUGGUAUAUCAUGUCAUCUUAAUUUAUUACCAAAGUAGUGCCUGGCUGGCUUGCCACAAAACACUAACAGUGAAAUGCAAACUAUCCUUGUUCA
This is an RNA transcript of Medicago truncatula (barrel medic), 4853 nucleotides long. It is a transcript of the gene named DEAD-box ATP-dependent RNA helicase 42, with no coding region annotated. The record is from RefSeq and is a predicted model, not a curated record. The transcript is spliced from 5 exons. NCBI's taxonomy places the organism in Eukaryota, Viridiplantae, Streptophyta, Magnoliopsida, Fabales, Fabaceae.